This 82-nucleotide transfer RNA is filed under the name Ixodes scapularis (black-legged tick). It matches the Rfam family "tRNA". Rfam says of the family: Transfer RNA (tRNA) molecules are approximately 80 nucleotides in length. Their secondary structure includes four short double-helical elements and three loops (D, anti-codon, and T loops). The record is from Rfam by way of RNAcentral. Lineage: Eukaryota; Metazoa; Arthropoda; Arachnida; Ixodida; Ixodidae.
GCAGUCGUGGCCGAGUGGUUAAGGUGAUGGACUAGAAAUCCAUUGGGGUCUCUCCGUACAGGUUCGAAUCCUGUUGGCCGCA